This 72-nucleotide transfer RNA is filed under the name Ictidomys tridecemlineatus (thirteen-lined ground squirrel). Its description in RNAcentral is "Spermophilus tridecemlineatus (thirteen-lined ground squirrel) tRNA". It matches the Rfam family "tRNA". From Rfam's summary of the family: Transfer RNA (tRNA) molecules are approximately 80 nucleotides in length. Lineage: Eukaryota; Metazoa; Chordata; Mammalia; Rodentia; Sciuridae. The record is from Rfam by way of RNAcentral.
UGUGUUGUGGCUCAGCGGUAGAGCGUUCAUCUUGCACGCAUGAGACUCUGGGUUCGAUCCUCAGCACCACAU